Molecule: unclassified non-coding RNA, 87 nt
Filed under: plant metagenome
Description: partial contains 5.8S ribosomal RNA, internal transcribed spacer 2, and large subunit ribosomal RNA
Source: RNAcentral
ACCUCGGUAGCCAUGCUCACCGACAAAGUGCGCUGCGUGAUGAACACCCGCGCCGAGGUCUGCUCGGCGGUCGACAAUUCGUGCCUG